Long non-coding RNA from Homo sapiens (human), 8505 nucleotides. RefSeq lists it as uncharacterized. The transcript has 3 exons. NCBI's taxonomy places the organism in Eukaryota, Metazoa, Chordata, Mammalia, Primates, Hominidae. The record is from RefSeq and is a predicted model, not a curated record.
GUCUUGGGCACAGGUGCCCUUCAUGCUGAAGGAAAUGCAGGGUCACCAGCUCCUAAGACAGCUUGUUACCUGGGGCCGCUGCAGCAGUCAGGUCUGCGGGGCAUGGGCUUGCCCUUUUGUGUCUUCCUUUUGACACCCUGCCUCUAUCCUUCCCAGGAGGAGCCCAGCGAUGGUGGCUGAGCCCCAGGUGAGCUGGCCUUUGGGGAACAGUUGCUGCCCAAGGCCUCUCCCCCUCAGCCUGGAGCCCCUUGCCCAGCAGACCCUUGGGGCCCUGAGAACAGAAUCUCCCUCCUCAGAUCCAGGCCCACCCCACUAGCUGCCCCUUCCACAGAGCUGAGCAGGAUGCAGGGCCCUAAGGGGAGAGCCCAGUUUUGAGAGCUCUGUGUUUCCAUAGUCACACCUUCCCUGCCCAACCUACCCCUAGCUCUUUUCCUAAACAUCUGCCUGGAAGGUAGGGAGAUGCACGUAGAGCCUCUUGCUAGAAACUCAGUCCAAGCUGCAAGGUGCAUUUGCCCUUGGGCAGGGGUGAGGCUCUCUGGGCAGUGAGCACCUGUGAUUCCAGGGCACAGUGAUGUUUGAGGAGGUGGCCAUGUACCUCACACAGGAGGAGGGGCAGCACCUGGGACCCCCUCAGAGAGCACUCUACCAGGAUGUGAUGCUCGAGAACCACUGCACCCUACCAGCUCUGGAUAAGCAUCACAUGGUGGGCUUCAGGUCCCUGCUCCCCAUCCCCAGGUGACUGGUCCCCUGGGCUCUCUUGACUCAUAGACCAAAUAUCCCCAGUCCAUGCUGGGGUGCUCGUGUCCCAGCAGGGAGUGCCCAGUGAUCUCAUCACCCAUUCUUUCUUCUCGAGACCUCCUCUGGAUCCCCCUCCUCUUGCAGCCUCUGUGGCCCUCAGCCAGGGGCAGCUCAGAUAUUCUAGCACUGACCAUUAUCUUCUUGAUAGACAGGUUUUUCAGUGUCCACACUCAGGGUUAUCUCCCAGCAGGAGCAGGGGAAAAUGCCAUGGGUCAUUGCUCUGCCAGGGCCUCCCUGCACAGGUGAGUGAGGAGAUUCCUAGGUCAAAACAAAGCAUAAACAAUCAACGCCAACAGAAAAAUCUUCCGAAGAACAAUUACAAGAAGUAACUCAGGAAAUUUUCCCAAGAGGCAAUCCAGAAGAGUUUGAGUUUCGAUCAGCUUGUAGGACUGAGACAGGAGCAGAACAUUGCUGGAAGAAAUUCACAAUACAGACCAGGAUGAAGUUAUUUCCCCAAAAGAGAGGUUCGAGGCAAGUGGUCAGCUCCCCGUUGAAAAUCAUUGUAGCAGACAAAUACCGGGAAUGUAAUAAAUUGGAGAAAAGUUUGUCUCUGGGCACAAAGCCUGUUGUACCUCUGAGGGACAGGCCAGGAAAGAGAGCCAGUGGAUGGAGGAUGGGUGGCUGAGGCUUUCCAUGUGAGUCAUAUCUGAGUGGACAUCGGGCAGUUACCAGUGGGACAAAGCCCCAUGGAUGCCAUGUGUAUGGGAAGUCUUUCAGCAAGAACUCACACCUUACUUGGCAUCAGAUAAUUCAUACUACAGAGAAGCCCUGUGUAUGUAUUGAAUGUGGGGAAAAAAACACAACUCAAGCCUUAUACAUCAUCAGAAAAUUCACCAUGGAUGGUGAAACCCUAUCUCUACUAAAAACACAAAAAUUAUCUGGGUGUGGUGGUGUAUGCUGGUAAUCCUGGCUACUCAGGAGGCUGAGGCAGAAGAAUUGCUUGAACCAGGGAGGCGGAGGUUGCAUUGAGCUGAGAUUGCGGCACUGCACUCCAGCCUGGGCGACAGAGUGAGACUCCAUCUCAAAAGAAAAGAAAAGAAAAGAAAAUUCAUGGUGGAGAAAAACCCUGUGUGUGUAGUGAAUGUGGUAAGGGCUUUAGGGAGACAUCAAAGCUUGUUAAACAUCAGAGAAUUCAUACUGGAGAAAAGCCCUAUAGGUGGGAUGAAUGUGACAAAGCCUUUAGUGGGAAUUCAAACCUUAUUAAACACCAACUGAUACAUACUGGAGAGAAGCCCUAUAAAUGUAUUGAGUGCGGGAAAGCCUUUAAUCCGAAAGCAAAUCCCAUGCAAUAUCAGAGAAUUCAUACAGGAGAGAAACUUUUUGAAUGUCAAGAGUGUGGAAAAAGCUUCAGUCAGCCAUCACACGUGAUUCAUAAUCAAAGGAAGCAUGCUUGAGAGAAGCCCUACAAAUGCAGUGAGUGUGGAAGGGGCUUCAAACAUCACACCUGAUUGAUCAUCAAAGAAUACACACUGGAGAGAAAACUUAUGUGUGUGUCAUGUGGGAGAGGCUUUAUUCAGAUGUCACACUUGAUUCAUUGCCACAGAACACAUUCUGUAGAGAAGCCACAUGCAUGUAGUGUAUGUGGGAAAUGCUUCAGCCAGAGCUCAACCCUUAUUAGACAUUAGGUUGUUCACAUUAUGGAUAGGAAGUAUAAGUUAAAGGAAUGUGGGCAGGCUUUCAGUGUGAGCUAGCUUCUCAGUCACUAUCUCACAAAUUCUACUGGAGAGGAACCCCUCAAUUCAUACAGGAGAGAAGAGCAUCCAAGAAUGCAACAAAGGUGGGAAGACUUUCAUUGUAGCUCAUUAUAUAAUGUCAGAGAGUUCCUGUUGGAGAGAACCCCUAUGGAUGUAAUGAAUGUUGAAAAAGCAUUUAUUUGGAACUCACAUAUUAUUUACAAUGAGAUAAUUCAUAGAGGAUAUAAUGGAUAUGAGAGGCUUUGGUGUACUGUGGGAAGUAGGUGGAAAUGUGGGUUCCUGCUAUUGCCAGCUGCUCCCUUUUGAAUAAACUGCCCUAGCAGGUGCUUGCCCCAGGGUGGCCAUGCUCUGUAGGGAAUCUUGCUUUAGACUGGGAUUGUAAGAUGGAGACAAAGACAGCCUUAUUCCUGGCUGGGAAUGCCACUGGAAAUGCUAGGGGAGGCCAGUGGUCCAUGGCGUGGCCUGAUCUCAAAUAUGCAGAAACCAGAAGCAGAGACCAGACCCAGAGAGAGGCAGAUAAAUGCAACCCCCAAAGUGGAUGCACAGGAAAAUGGAAAACUACUAGAGUUAGUGUUGGGUCUCCAGAGCUGCCUUUUUAUCCUGAACAAUGAUGAGCAAUGACUCCAGGUCUUCGUGAAACCAAACAGAAUAGCUGAGGCAGCUUCCUACACCUCUGCACUAAGUUUUUUAAAUCUGAAAGCAUGUAGAAUGAGUGUCAGCCGCACCAACAUGUAGGAUCUGUCUUUUAAUCAGAAGGCAAUCCGUUGUGGCUACUGGCUAUACUGAAAACAUAACAUUAUUUUAACAUAAUCCUUCAGCAGCUUAGGAUAAAAUCCUUGACUUUAGAAUGAAGUUUUCACUAUGAAAUGAAAUCAAGGCUGGGCACAGUGGCUUAUGCUUGUAAUCCCAGCACUCUGAGAGACCAAGAUGGAUCACUCGAGGCCAGGACUUUUGAGACCAGCCUGGCAACAUGGUGAGACCCCAUCUCUACAAAUAAAUAAAAUUAGCUAGGCAUGGUGGGAGGAUCAUUUGAACCCAGGAGGUUGAGGCUGGAGUGAGCCAUGAUUUCACUACUGUACUCUGUCCUGGGCAACAGAGCGAGCCUCUGUCCUAAAAAUAUGUGUGUUAAAGAUUACUUAUAUCUAGUUCAUACCUCCUAAAGGUAAUUUGAAUUGAAAUAGUGAUGCAUACAAUAAGGUCAUUAAAGUAGAAACAGAAAAUAAAGGAUUAUAAAGCCAUUGAUGGUAAGAGCAAUUGAUUUUGUGAACUACAAAUCAUAGAUUUAACUGAAUAGUUUGUUGUUUAUACAAAAUAGCUGUUGAAAAGUUUCUGACUGACUGGGUGCAGUGGCUUAUGCCUAUAAUCCCAGCACUUUUGGAGGCCAAGGCAGGUGGAUCACUUGAGAACAGCCUGGCCAACAUGGAGAAACUCUGUUUCUACUAAAAAUACAAAAAUUAGCCAGGCAUGGUGGUGCACGCCUGUAAUCCCAGCUACUCCAGUGAGUCAAGAGAAUUGGUUGAACCCAGGAGGCAGAGGUUGCAGUGAGCUGAGAUCACACCACUGCACUCCAGCCUGGGUGACGGAGUGAAACUCUUGUCUCAAAAAAAAAAAAAAGUUUCUGGUUAGAUUUUUCCUCUAGGCGCAAUCUGAGGAGAAAGGAGGAAAGCUUGGAGAGGAACACAGCUAUGAAAUGCAUCCAUCUGCCCCUCCUUCGUCAUCAGGCAAUGGCACAAUCUGAGCCAGGAAUGACCCUCUGUCUUCCAAGGCCUGAGGUGCAGAGAAGAGCAACCAAGCCCACAUAAUCUUCCAGGGUUCCAACCCCAGUCCUGGGUAUAAGAAGCAAGCUGUUGCCUUAUAUGUGUUAAAAAGAAGAGAGGGGCUGGGUGCAGUGGCUUACGCCUGUAAUCCCAACACUUUGGGAGGCUGAGGCAGGAGGAUCACUUGAGGCCAGGAGUUCAAGACUAGACUACAAAGUGAGACCCUGUCUCUACAAAAAAAAAAAGAAAAAUUACAAAUUAGUCAGGUGUGGUGGCCUGCACAUGUAGUUCCAGAUACUUGGGAGGCUGAGGCAGGAGGAUCGCUUGAGGCCAGAAGUUUGAGACUACAGUGAGCCGUGACUGCCCCACUGAACUCCAGUCUGGGUGAUAGAGACCACCUGGUCGCUAAUUAAAAAUUGUUUUCAAAAGGGAGGGGAGGGUAGACUCUUGAGUCUUGUCUACAAUUCUGUACUCCUUUCAGGGAAAACGGACCUUACAUUCAUAAAAGGGGAGCCACAGCAGCUGUUGUCACCAACAGGUGCUUUUGUGCAUCACUGAUUUGUGUCUGGCUCACUCACUUCCACUUGUCCUGUUGUGCACACCGUUGGAUGCCAGGUGACACUUGCCAAGGUCGUAAGUGCCACAGGACUUGCAGUGAAGGGAAGGGUUGAUUGGGGAAGAGGGAUGAGGAAGGUUUGGAUGAAGGGAUAGAACUGGGCCUUGAAGGAUUGACAAGAUGAUGGCAGAAGGAACACAGAUGAGCUGGGAAGAGGCUGAUACUCUCAGAUGCCGUGGAGUUGGGAGUGUGAGGACCCGGGAAGGACUGGGAUCCUGCAGAGCCUGGCCUUGCAGGCCCUGCUGGGGAGUGUGUUCAGUCCUGGAGACAUGGGAGCUGUAGGAUAUUUUGAACCAGGAGGGUUUCAGAAUUCCUCUUCAAGGCCAUCUGGGUACGUGGACUGCAAAGCACCUGGCAGCUCCCUGUGCCCACGAAGUUACUGUGCUCCAUGUUGUGCAUGGCUCUUCUCCUCACCUGUCAUCCAGGGGUGUCAUAGGUAUGCUGCCCUGUUCCUCAGACUGUAAACUGGCUUCUUGAUUACCCUCAUGGCUCCUUUUCCUUCACAUGAGAUUUUAUGGUUUAAAAAAAAAAAAAAAAAGAACCCACACAGUUUGUGGCUGAAUGCUGUGGUCAAGGACCUGGGCCAUAGCGCACUUGUACUGGGGAGAUCAGCAGGGAGAUUACUGAGAGGCAAACUCACCUGCCCAGAGUCUGGACUGUGGCUCUGCAGGCUCUGAUACCUGAUUCUUCCCUCAUACUGAGAUGAUCCCUACACUCCAGGAAGUGGACAUAGAAGACCAGAAAGUCAGGGCACAGAUUGAGCCCUGCUAGAGGCUAGAUUCUUAACAUCUGCCCGAAAGUUGUUAGCAACCCUGGUGUUGCCACUGGGAUUGUACCUCCGUUUGUGCAUAGGUCUUGAGGGAAGCUGGAGGAACAGAAACCAGAACAUGGGGAGUGGACAGUGCCUGGACAGUAUCUGUACAUUUCUGGCUCUUUGUCUUUCCAUUUUCUUUCCUCUAAGGCUUAGAGUCCAAGCUGAAUGUUAGUUUCCUCUGUGUUUCUCUAAUGAAUGAUUAGGUUUCUGCUCAUGAAAUUAAAAUCUCAUUCUAUGCCCUUUGGGACAAUAAAUUUAGACUUGAUGGAAGUUUAGAACGACUCCCAAAUUAUUCAGUAACACAUUUAAAGACAGUCUCUUGUCUGUCCCUAUGAUGGCCAGCCACAUCGAAUGUGAGAGCCUGGGGGGAGUAAAAAGAGGGUUUUGGAGUGGGACAGAUGGAUCUGGAUCAUAGACAAUUUGUUCAACCUCAGCUUUCUUACCUGUGAAAUGGUGAUGUCAAUCCUUACCUGGCACACGCAGAGCACUUGGCACCACCUGGCACAUAGCAGGUGCUCCAUGAAUGGCAGCUACUGUUACUGUGUCUGGAGUUGGUUCCUUCCAGUUGGUUCGUGGUCUCACUGACUUCAAAAAUGGAGCCACCAACCUUCACAGUGAGUGUUACAGCUCUUAAAGAUGGCACGGACCCAGAGUGAGUAGCAGCAACAUUUAUUGUGAAGCGCGAAAGAACAAAGCUUCCACAGCAUGGAAGAAGAUCCGAACGGGUUGUCCCUGCUGGCUGGAGGGUGGUCAGCUUUUAUUCCCUUAUUUGUCCCUGCUCAUGUCCUGCUGAUUGGUCCAUUUUACAGAGUGCUGAUUGGUCCAUUUUACAAACCUCUAGCUAGCUCUACAGAGCACUGACUGGUGCAUUUUACAAACCUCUAGCUAGCUACAGAGUGCUGAUUAGUGCAUUUUACAAUCUCCUUGUAAGACAGAAACGUUCUCUGAGUCCCCACUCGACCCAGGAAGUCCAGCUGGCUUCACCUCUCAUUACCACCACAGUGGACUUUAGUAGGCUAAUGGUCAAAGGCAACUUUAUCUUUGUGACCAGGAGAUAACUUUUUCCCCAAAUGGGUGAAAAGACUAAGGUUCUGACAUGUUGCUUCCGGGCUCCUGCUGUGGAUAUCAUCAACCACAGCCACCUGGAAACAUUCCCGAGAUACCUAUUUUUCCUACAGAGAAGUCAAGUUAUUUUUCCUACCUUCGGUCCUUAGUUCUCAUUCUCCAAGGAACUCAACAGUCCUGAGCAACACUGAGGUCUCAGGGGCCUAGUUCCAUGAGGGACUCUGUGGCAACUGGCCCCUGGGUCCCUCCCCUCCCAUCCAGGGCCGCCCCAGCGGUCUCCAUGCCCAGGGCGCCUCUUCCCUCUUCAACAGCCCCAGGGGCACCAGGGCCGCUUCUCACUCAACACUGUCUCUGGGCGACCUCGCGAGCUCAGUGGCAUCACUGACCAUCAAGACGCCCCAAUUUGCAUCUACAUCACAGCAGCAUCUGCCGGCUUUAGGUCCUGUCUUCACCAGGAUGUCCCACAGUCGCUUCACACUAAGAGCCCAACUGGCCCCUUCCUUGCCCGGACCCGGAGCUCCUGUCGGGGACCGUUGAACCACCGAGUGGGCGGUCAUCCGGGUGUCUCAGAGCAGACCGAGAGCAGGUGCGCAGACCUCUGUGGACGGCUACUUCCGGUGCGCUCCCAACAGGUUUCCGCCCGGGGUCACCGGCCGCAGUGCUCCUUUCGGCUCCAGGGAAGCGCGGACUCGCCCCUGCUGCCCGCCCGGCGUUGCCUCAGCACAUCCCUGACCGUCGGAGGAGCCCCUAGAAGUGGCAGUGGGCGCAAUGGUGGCGGCGUGUGGCGGGGCCGUGCCCAGAAGCGCUCGCAGUCCCGGAGCGAUUCUUCGGCGCCUUAAACCUGGGGUUCCGGAAGCUGUAGCCCCCGUUUCAAAAUCCGCCGGAAGCGCCUGACCCCCAGAAGUCGCGCUCUGCCCUGACCUGCCGGAGAGCGGGGGCCGCGCGGAGUUUCCGCGGGACUUCCUGCUGUGGAGGUUAAAGCACGGUUUGUCAAAACGCCUUAGAACUUGCAAUGCCGGCCAUUCGCGUCGGGGUGGGGUCCCCAGAAGCAGACCCUGAGGUGAGGCUUCCUGUAUUCUUGGCUUAUUGGGAGGCGCAGGCUCGGCCAGUGAGGACUGGGAAGAAGAGGAGGCCAGCCCGGGUGAGCGUCGUGCAGAGGCCGCGGGGUGACCGGGUCCAGUCCUGCAGGGGGGUCUGGAACAUGUUCGGAUCGGACCUCAGCGCGGAUCCCUCCCGUCGGGGUGGAGGGAGCUGGGCCUUUUCUGCCUCAGCGGCUUUAGGACUGUUCCAGGAAGAGGUGAGCAGCGGCGGCCCUCGACCCAGAGAAGCAGGGGCCACAAGGAACUGGGUGCAGGAAGGUGGUGAAGGGCCCAAAGGACGCGUGCGUGGCCUCAGGAAGUGCCGGAAGAAAGCCUGAGUCUGAAUCUGAGAAUUUCUCCAGGUUUACCUUCUUGAGGGGUCGCCAAACUGUUUUCCAAAGCAGCUGCCUCAUUGUACCUUCCCAUUCUGUAUCUGUUCAUCCAUACAGCCAUACAUGACAGUUUCUCCACAUCCUUAUCAACACUUGUUAUUGGCCUUUUUUUAAAAAAUCAUAGUCAUAGCUGGUGGGUGUGAAGUGGUGUCGCUUUGUGGUUUUGAUUUGUAUUUCCUUGAUAAGUAAUGAUGUUAAGCAUCACCUCACAUGCUUAAUGGCCAUUUGUGUAUCUUUGAAGAAAUAUCUAUUCAAAUCUUUUGCCCAUUUAAAAACUACUUGUCUUUUUA